CACUGUUAAGGGGGCGGGGUGUUGUGGAAGUCACUAAUAAACGGGCGGCCGCUGUGGAGGUCACUGUUAAAAAGGAGGGUGCCAUGGAUGUUAUUGUUAAGGAGGCAGGCCGCUGUGGAGGUCACUGUUAAGGGGGCGAACCACUGAGGAGGUCACUGUCAAGGGAGUAGGG
Bufo bufo (common toad) is the source of this 172-nucleotide long non-coding RNA. RefSeq lists it as uncharacterized. The record is from RefSeq and is a predicted model, not a curated record. The transcript is spliced from 3 exons. NCBI's taxonomy places the organism in Eukaryota, Metazoa, Chordata, Amphibia, Anura, Bufonidae.